UGCAAACACUUGUUAGUAGAAGUUUUAAAUG
Molecule: non-coding RNA, 31 nt
Filed under: Mus musculus (house mouse)
Lineage: Eukaryota; Metazoa; Chordata; Mammalia; Rodentia; Muridae
Source: RNAcentral